GAGUUUGAUUAUGGCUCAGAUUGAACGCUGGCGGCAUGCUUUACACAUGCAAGUCGAACGGCAGCACGAGUGCUUGCACUUGGUGGCGAGUGGCGAACGGGUGAGUAAUGCAUUGGAACGUGCCUUGUAUUGGGGGAUAACUGAGCGAAAGCUUAGCUAAUACCGCAUACGCCCUGAGGGGGAAAGCUGGGGAUCGUUUGACCUGGCGAUAUAAGAGCGGCCAAUGUCUGAUUAGCUAGUUGGUGAGGUAAAGGCUUACCAAGGCGACGAUCAGUAGCGGGUCUGAGAGGAUGAUCCGCCACACUGGGACUGAGAGACGGCCCAGACUCCUACGGGAGGCAGCAGUGGGGAAUUUUGGACAAUGGGGGGAACCCUGAUCCAGCCAUGCCGCGUGUCUGAAGAAGGCCUUCGGGUUGUAAAGGACUUUUGUUGGGGAGCAAAGGUAUCUGGUUAAGAGCUGGAGAUUAUGAGA
Molecule: ribosomal RNA, 472 nt
Filed under: Aquaspirillum sp. canine oral taxon 091
Lineage: Bacteria; Pseudomonadati; Pseudomonadota; Betaproteobacteria; Neisseriales; Aquaspirillaceae
Description: bacterial SSU rRNA
Rfam family: Bacterial small subunit ribosomal RNA
Source: RNAcentral